ACACCGAAUGUACUAGCCCUAUUGCUUAUAGUAUCUGAGAUAUGGACUUGACCACCAAAACUUAACCUUGUUCACUGAUCCAUGAAAUGAGGUCAAGUGAAAACUGUCUGACAGACAUGAGGACCUUGCAAGGUACGCACAUAUCAAAUAUAGUUAUCCUAUUACUUAUAAUAAGAGAGAAUAUCAACAUUACAAAAAAUUUGAACUUUUUUUCAAGUGGUCACUGAACCAUGAAAAUGAGGUCAAGGACAUUGGACAUGUAACUGACGGAAACUUCGUAACAUGAAGCAUCUAUAUACAAAGUAUGAAGCAUCCA
This 316-nucleotide long non-coding RNA is filed under the name Mytilus galloprovincialis (Mediterranean mussel). The record is from RNAcentral. Lineage: Eukaryota; Metazoa; Mollusca; Bivalvia; Mytilida; Mytilidae.